AAGCAAUUAUACCGCGAAACUGCGAAUGGCUCAUUAUAUAAGUUAUCGUUUAUUUGAUAGUACCUUACUACUUGGAUAACCGUGGUAAUUCUAGAGCUAAUACAUGCUAAAAAUCCCGACUUCGGAAGGGAUGUAUUUAUUAGAUUAAAAACCAAUGCCCUUCGGGGCUCACUGGUGAUUCAUGAUAACUCCUCGAAUCGCAUGGCCUUGUGCCGGCGAUGGUUCAUUCAAAUUUCUUCCCUAUCAACUUUCGAUGUUUGGGUAUUGGCCAAACAUGGUUGCAACGGGUAACGGAGGGUUAGGGCUCGACCCCGGAGAAGGAGCCUGAAAAACGGCUACUACAUCCAAGGAAGGCAGCAGGCGCGCAAAUUACCCAAUCCCGACACGGGGAGGUAGUGACAAUAAAUACUGAUACAGGGCUCUUUUGGGUCUUGUAAUUGGAAUGAGUACAAUUUAAAUCCCUUAACGAGGAACAAUUGGAGGGCAAGUCUGGUGCCAGCAGCCGCGGUAAUUCCAGCUCCAAUAGCGUAUAUUAAAGUUGUUGUGGUUAAAAAGCUCGUAGUUGAACCUUGGGCCUGGCUGGCCGGUCCGCCUCACCGCGUGUACUGGUCCGGCCGGGCCUUUCCCUCUGUGGAACCCCAUGCCCUUCACUGGGUGUGGCGGGGAAACAGGACUUUUACUGUGAAAAAAUUAGAGUGCUCCAGGCAGGCCUAUGCUCGAAUACAUUAGCAUGGAAUAAUAGAAUAUGACGUGUGGUUCUAUUUUGUUGGUUUCUAAGACCGCCGUAAUGAUUAAUAGGGACAGUCGGGGGCAUCAAUAUUCAUUGUCAGAGGUGAAAUUCUUGGAUUUAUUGAAGACUAACUACUGCGAAAGCAUUUGCCAAGGA
This 886-nucleotide ribosomal RNA is filed under the name Allophoma tropica. RNAcentral describes it as "SSU rRNA". It matches the Rfam family "Eukaryotic small subunit ribosomal RNA", at positions 67 to 964 of the family's 1831-position model. The record is from RNAcentral. Lineage: Eukaryota; Fungi; Ascomycota; Dothideomycetes; Pleosporales; Didymellaceae.